UGUGUAGGCGGCUCUCUAAGUUUGGUGUGAAAUCUCCCGGCUCAACCGGGAGGGUGCGCCGAAAACUGGAGGGCUAGAGUGCGGGAUGGGAGGAGUAGAAUUCCUGGUGUAGCGGUGAAAUGCGUAGAUAUCAGGAGGAAUACCGGUGGUGUAGACGGCUCUCUGGACCGCAACUGACGCUGAAACACGGAAAGCGUGGGUAGCAAACAGGAUUAGAUACCCUGGUAGUCCACGCCCUAAACGAUGCAUAUUUGGUGUAGGUCAUUCAGUUGAUCUGUGCCGGAGCUAACGCGUUAAAUAUGCCGCCUGGGGAGUACAGUCGCAAGGCUGAA
RNAcentral lists this ribosomal RNA (332 nucleotides) under uncultured bacterium. RNAcentral's name for it is "bacterial SSU rRNA". It matches the Rfam family "Bacterial small subunit ribosomal RNA", at positions 568 to 898 of the family's 1533-position model. The record is from RNAcentral.